This 74-nucleotide transfer RNA is filed under the name Candidatus Methanodesulfokora washburnensis. RNAcentral's name for it is "Candidatus Korarchaeota archaeon MDKW tRNA-Gln". It matches the Rfam family "tRNA". From Rfam's summary of the family: Transfer RNA (tRNA) molecules are approximately 80 nucleotides in length. Their secondary structure includes four short double-helical elements and three loops (D, anti-codon, and T loops). The record is from RNAcentral. Lineage: Archaea; Thermoproteati; Thermoproteota; Candidatus Korarchaeia.
AGCCCCGUAGUGUAGCUGGGCAAGCACACCGGCCUCUGGAGCCGGGGACGCCGGUUCGAAUCCGGCCGGGGCUA